This 441-nucleotide long non-coding RNA is filed under the name Ananas comosus (pineapple). RNAcentral describes it as "long non-coding RNA (ACOM_LNC022950)". Lineage: Eukaryota; Viridiplantae; Streptophyta; Magnoliopsida; Poales; Bromeliaceae. The record is from RNAcentral.
AAAAAAAAAUCAGAAGCAGUAUCCAAGCCCCAUUGAAUUUUGAAAUGCACUAGUGAAGUUACCGGUGCAUUGCGACGGGCUAAUAUUAUAGAAGAUAAAAAAUUGACAAAAUAAAAAUUUUAAAAUUUUUUAACUUAGAUAUAUACAAAUGUGGCAAAAGUUACAACAACAAAUAAAUUAUACAUAAUAAUAAUAAAAGUUACAACAGCAAAUAGAUAUAUAUAUUUUUUUAACGAUUUGUUUAGAUAAAAAUAAAUCAUAUGAAUAUAUUAAUUAGAAAGUGGGCGGAUGGGAAGACGAAACAUUAGAUAGAGAUGAGAUGGGAAGCCGAAGCAUCAAAGAGUGUGGAGAGGGGGGUGAAGGAGGAAUUGCCAUGUGGCAAUUUUCAUGAGAAAUAAUGUACAGGAAUAGAAGGAAUAGAAGAUGUGCAUUACAUGUUUC